CAGCCGCCGCGGUAAUACGGAGGGAGCUAGCGUUGUUCGGAAUUACUGGGCGUAAAGCGCACGUAGGCGGCUUUGUAAGUUAGAGGUGAAAGCCUGGAGCUCAACUCCAGAAUUGCCUUUAAGACUGCAUCGCUUGAAUCCAGGAGAGGUGAGUGGAAUUCCGAGUGUAGAGGUGAAAUUCGUAGAUAUUCGGAAGAACACCAGUGGCGAAGGCGGCUCACUGGACUGGUAUUGACGCUGAGGUGCGAAAGCGUGGGGAGCAAACAGGAUUAGAUACCCCGGUAGUCCCUGUCUCUUAUAA
Molecule: ribosomal RNA, 301 nt
Filed under: uncultured bacterium
Lineage: Bacteria
Description: partial 16S ribosomal RNA
Rfam family: Bacterial small subunit ribosomal RNA
Source: RNAcentral